This 987-nucleotide long non-coding RNA is filed under the name Pan troglodytes (chimpanzee). Its description in RNAcentral is "long non-coding RNA NONPTRT008339". The record is from RNAcentral. Lineage: Eukaryota; Metazoa; Chordata; Mammalia; Primates; Hominidae.
GCUGGGGCUGUGGGUGCCAUCUUGUCACCUUGAAGGAAGAGCCCACCUGAGAACGACAUCAACUCAGAGGGAAGUCAGCAGAGCCAAGAGGCCGGGAGAGGUGAUUCCUGGUGACAUCAUCUGGCUCCUGGGUGCAGCCAUGGUGGAGUUGGCCUCGAACGUUGUCCCUGGCAUGGAGGGGGAAGAGGCCUGAGGCAAGUUCCAGCAAAUAGGAUAUUCCAUGCAGUGAGGCUUCCAGAAGGAAAUUAUCCACAGGGAUCUGAAGCCAGAGAACUUCCCUGAGGAGGCUCAGCACGACAUGGAAACAACAGACUCUGGCUUUGAUACCAGAUUCACCGUAGGCUGAAAGCUGAUCCCCUUCGGUGGGAGCUCCUCUUAUGCAGCCUCAGAACUGUUCCCCGGGACAAAAGUACGAUGUACCCUGGUGGGCGUGUGGAGCCUGGGAGUCACUGUCUACACCAUGGUGGCCGAGGACUGCUAUCUGUUGGGCAGACUUUUGUGGGGCUGAGGACGACACUAAUACUGUGUGAAUGGUGACAGGCGAUGCCAUUCCUUAUUUCCAUAGAACUAGAACGCCUCAUAAACACAAUUCUGGCCGUUGACUCCAGGGAGAGGCCCUCACUAGCCCUCAUCAUGGGGCGCCCAUGGAUUAACAUGGGCCAGGAGGAGACGCUAACUAAGGCCAUACUGGGAGCUGCUCCCCGAUCACCCGGAGUCUGGAAAGCGCUCCUGGUGUCCCCGGGAGAUGAGGCAGACCAUGUCCCAUCGUUGUUGGAAAAAUAUAUGAUGAUACCAUGGCUGGCUAUCAGAUCCUGGGCUGCAGGAAACCCGAGGUGUGGGGCGUCAUCAUCACAGUGAAGCUCCUGCCUUCAGCAGAUCCUACUACUUGCCGCCAUUCUCCCCCAUCACCUGAAAAAAACUCCUCUAAUGAAUAUUAAACUUGUACUGGAAAAAGGUCAAUAAAUAAAUAAAUAAGAUAUAGUCGCC